Molecule: ribosomal RNA, 369 nt
Filed under: uncultured eukaryote
Lineage: Eukaryota
Description: partial 18S ribosomal RNA
Rfam family: Eukaryotic small subunit ribosomal RNA
Source: RNAcentral
CAAUAGCGUAUAUUAAAGUUGUUGCAGUUAAAAAGCUCGUAGUUGGACCUUGGACCUGGACAGGCGGUCCGCCUCACGGCGAGUACUGUCUUGCUGGGUCUUUCCUCUUGGUGAUCUGUUGUUUCGGCAGCAGGGAACCAGGACCUUUACUUUGAAAAAAUUAGAGUGUUCAAAGCAGGCUCGACGCCGGAAUAUAUUAGCAUGGAAUAAUAAAAUAGGACGUGCGGUUCUAUUUUGUUGGUUUUUGGAAUCGCCGUAAUGAUUAAUAGGGACAGUCGGGGGCAUUAGUACUCACAUGCUAGAGGUGAAAUUCUUGGAUUUUGUGAAGACUAACUUCUGCGAANGNAUUUGCNAAGGAUGUUUNCAUUG